This 258-nucleotide ribosomal RNA is filed under the name uncultured Polaribacter sp. Its description in RNAcentral is "partial 16S ribosomal RNA". It matches the Rfam family "Bacterial small subunit ribosomal RNA", at positions 316 to 571 of the family's 1533-position model. The record is from RNAcentral. Lineage: Bacteria; Pseudomonadati; Bacteroidota; Flavobacteriia; Flavobacteriales; Flavobacteriaceae.
GUACUGAGACACGGACCAGACUCCUACGGGAGGCAGCAGUGAGGAAUAUUGGACAAUGGAGGCAACUCUGAUCCAGCCAUGCCGCGUGUAGGAAGAAUGCCCUAUGGGUUGUAAACUACUUUUAUACAGGAAGAAACACUGGUAUGUAUACCAGCUUGACGGUACUGUAAGAAUAAGGACCGGCUAACUCCGUGCCAGCAGCCGCGGUAAUACGGAGGGUCCGAGCGUUAUCCGGAAUCAUUGGGUUUAAAGGGUCCG